Molecule: unclassified non-coding RNA, 322 nt
Organism: Loxodonta africana (African savanna elephant)
Lineage: Eukaryota; Metazoa; Chordata; Mammalia; Proboscidea; Elephantidae
Gene: 7SK
Rfam family: 7SK RNA
About the family: 7SK was discovered as an abundant small nuclear RNA in the mid-70s but a possible function has only recently been suggested.
Source: Ensembl
GAAUGUGAGGAUAAUCCAUCAGUAACACAUCGUCCCCUUGAUCGAUGUGAUUGAUGAAGCUAUUUUGGCUGGCUAGAGAUGUUUCUCCUUCCUCCUUUAGAGUUCCGUAUGCAUCCCUUCCAAAGCCACAUGCUCAAUCACAGAAGACGGAUGAUCUCCCAAGACAGAGUAGGGCUGUUCUUCAGUCAAGGAUAUGGAGUGGUUAUUUUUCAACACCAGAAUCUCUAUUCCAGUGAUCUCGAACUUUAACAGGCGUCAGAAUCACCUGGAGCAUUUAUCAGCCUACAAAUUGCUGGGUCCCAGUGCUGGAGUUCUAGUAGGU